Molecule: small nuclear RNA, 239 nt
Filed under: Homo sapiens (human)
Lineage: Eukaryota; Metazoa; Chordata; Mammalia; Primates; Hominidae
Description: snRNA-7SK_RNA-related
Rfam family: 7SK RNA
About the family: 7SK was discovered as an abundant small nuclear RNA in the mid-70s but a possible function has only recently been suggested. Two independent studies have found that 7SK RNA binds the CDK9/cyclin T complex (known as elongation factor P-TEFb). P-TEFb activates transcription by phosphorylating the C-terminal domain of RNA polymerase II.
Source: RNAcentral
GGAUGUGAGGGUGAUCUGGCUGCAACUUCUGUCAUCCCAUUGAUCGCCAGGGUUGAUUCAGCUGAUCUGGCUGGCUAGACGGGUGUCCCCUUUCUCCCUCACCCCUCCACGUGCAUCCCUCCUGAAACUGCAUGCUUGGUCAAAGAGGAUGACCAUCCCCAAUAGAGGAAGACCAGUCUUUGGUCAAGGGUAUACGAGUAUCUGCACUCCCCUGCUAGAACCCCCAAACAAGUUCUCAA